RNAcentral lists this ribosomal RNA (324 nucleotides) under uncultured bacterium. RNAcentral describes it as "bacterial SSU rRNA". It matches the Rfam family "Bacterial small subunit ribosomal RNA", at positions 28 to 334 of the family's 1533-position model. The record is from RNAcentral.
GAUGAACGCUGGCGGCGUGCUUAACACAUGCAAGUCGAACGAGGCUGCACAUCGGAAGUUUUCGGAUGGAAGAGGUGCAGACCGAGUGGCGGACGGGUGAGUAACGCGUGGGGAAUCUGCCCCAUUCCGGGGGAUACCAGCUGGAAACGGCUGUUAAUACCGCAUAAGCGCACGGGAGGACAUCCUCCAGUGUGAAAAACUGAGGUGGAAUGGGAUGGCCCCGCGUCUGAUUAGCCAGUUGGCAGGGUAACGGCCUACCAAAGCGACGAUCAGUAGCCGGCCUGAGAGGGCGACCGGCCACAUUGGGACUGAGACACGGCCCAA